GCGUAGAUAUCUGGAAGAAUACCAGUAGCGAAGGCGAUCGCCUGGCCACAGACGGACGCUGAGGCUCGAAAGCGUGGGGAGCAAACAGGAUUAGAUACCCUGGUAGUCCACGCCGUAAACGAUGGACACUGGAUAUCGGGUGAUUCAAGUUCAUUCGGUGUCGUAGCUAACGUGGUAAGUGUCCCGCCUGGGGAGUACGCUCGCAAGGGUGAAACUCAAAGGAAUUGACGGGGGCCCGCACAAGCGGUGGAGCAUGCGCUGUAAUUCGAUGCAACGCGAAGAACCUUACCUGGGUUUGACAUGGGGGUGAAAGUCUCCAGAGAUGGAGGCCCUGCCUUCGGGAACACUCUACACAGGUGCUGCAUGGUUGUCGUCAGCUCGUGUCGUGAGAUGUUGGGUUAAGUCCCGCAACGAGCGCAACCCUCGCCCUUAGUUGCCAUCAGGUAAUGCUGGGAACUCUAGGGGGACCGCCUAGUCCAACCAGGAGGAAGGUGGGGAUGACGUCAAAUCAUCAUGGCUCUUACGUCCAGGGCUAGACGCGUGCUACAAUGGUCGGUACAAAAGGAUGCCAAGCCGUGAGGCUGAGCUAAUCCCAAAAACCGGUCUCAGUCCGGAUUGGAGUCUGCAAUUCGACGCCAUGAAGCUGGAAUCGCUAGUAAUCGCGGAUCAGCAUGCCGCGGUGAAUAUGUUCCCGGGCCUGUACACACCGCCCG
RNAcentral lists this ribosomal RNA (713 nucleotides) under uncultured organism. RNAcentral describes it as "bacterial SSU rRNA". It matches the Rfam family "Bacterial small subunit ribosomal RNA", at positions 688 to 1396 of the family's 1533-position model. The record is from RNAcentral.